AGCUCCAAUAGCGUAUAUUAAAGUUGUUGCAGUUAAAAAGCUCGUAGUUGGAUUUCGGGCGCGUGCGCAUGGUCCGCCGAAAGGUGUGCACCGUGACUGUGCGCGUCCUCUUUCCGUAGGCCGCGUGUGCCUUAACUGGGUGUGCGUGGAAUGCGGAUCUUUUUACUUUGAAUAAUUAGAGUGUUCAAAGCAGGCUUUCG
Molecule: ribosomal RNA, 200 nt
Filed under: uncultured eukaryote
Lineage: Eukaryota
Description: partial 18S ribosomal RNA
Rfam family: Eukaryotic small subunit ribosomal RNA
Source: RNAcentral